UACGGAGGGUGCGAGCGUUAAUCGGAAUUACUGGGCGUAAAGCGCACGCAGGCGGUUUGUUAAGCUAGAUGUGAAAGCCCCGGGCUCAACCUGGGAUGGUCAUUUAGAACUGGCAGACUAGAGUCUUGGAGAGGGGAGUGGAAUUCCAGGUGUAGCGGUGAAAUGCGUAGAUAUCUGGAGGGACAUCAGUGGCGAAGGCGACUCCCUGGCCAAAGACUGACGCUCAUGAGCGAAAGUGUGGGUAGCGAACAGG
Molecule: ribosomal RNA, 253 nt
Filed under: uncultured bacterium
Lineage: Bacteria
Description: partial 16S ribosomal RNA
Rfam family: Bacterial small subunit ribosomal RNA
Source: RNAcentral